GAUUUCUGACAUGGUCUGCCAGAUCCGCCGGCGUUAGCUGUGUGAGUAUCGGGCCGCCGCGUCAUCCUUGUAGAAAACUCUCGUGCUCUUCACUGGGCUGCGGGGGUGAUCUACAUCUUUUACUUUGAAAAAAUUAGAGUGUUCAAAGCAGGCUUACGCUGUGAAUACAUUAGCAUGGAAUAAUAAUUUAGGACUUCGGUUCUAUUUUGUUGGUUUCUAGGACUGAAGUAAUGAUUGAUAGGGAUAGUUGGGGGUGCUAGUAUUCAGCGGCCAGAGGUGAAAUUCUCGGAUUCGCUGAAGACUAACUUAUGCGAAAGCAUU
This 321-nucleotide ribosomal RNA is filed under the name Imbricatea sp. RNAcentral describes it as "SSU rRNA". The stretch from base 106 to 321 matches the Rfam family "Eukaryotic small subunit ribosomal RNA", at positions 738 to 955 of the family's 1831-position model. Lineage: Eukaryota; Cercozoa; Imbricatea. The record is from RNAcentral.